Jaculus jaculus (lesser Egyptian jerboa) is the source of this 124-nucleotide small nucleolar RNA. RefSeq annotates it as small nucleolar RNA SNORA31. The transcript has a single exon. The record is from RefSeq and is a predicted model, not a curated record. Lineage: Eukaryota; Metazoa; Chordata; Mammalia; Rodentia; Dipodidae.
CUGCAUGCACUGGCAGACUGGGAAGGUUGGGGUUCUCGUGGUCUGCACUGGGAUGCAGAAGUCAAGAACCCCAUGCCUUCUGCCCGUCUUCGCGGUGGCCCCAGACUGAACUCAGGAGACAUCA